RNAcentral lists this ribosomal RNA (385 nucleotides) under Hypopachus barberi (Barber's sheep frog). Its description in RNAcentral is "12S ribosomal RNA". It matches the Rfam family "Bacterial small subunit ribosomal RNA", at positions 792 to 1389 of the family's 1533-position model. The record is from RNAcentral. Lineage: Eukaryota; Metazoa; Chordata; Amphibia; Anura; Microhylidae.
AUGCCUAGCCGUAAAACAUUAACUUACACCACAAACCGCCCGGGAAUUACGAGCCCAAGCUUAAAACCCAAAGGACUUGACGGUGUCCCAUCCACCUAGAGGAGCCUGUUCUAUAAUCGAUUCUCCCCGAUACACCUCACCACUUCUAGCCCAACAGUCUGUAUACCUCCGUCGCAAGCUUACCAUGUGAACGAAACUAGUGAGCUUAAAGAUUUUUUCACCAACACGUCAGGUCGAGGUGCAGCUUACGAAGCGGAAAGAAAUGGGCUACAAUUUCUAAUCUAGAACAAACGAAAGACUACAUGAAAAACAGUCAUGAAGGCGGAUUUAGUAGUAAAAAGAAAAUAGAGUGUUCUUUUUAAUAAGGCCCUGGGACGCGUACACA